This 1189-nucleotide long non-coding RNA is filed under the name Phascolarctos cinereus (koala). RNAcentral describes it as "lncRNA (ENSPCIG00000034133.1)". The record is from RNAcentral. Lineage: Eukaryota; Metazoa; Chordata; Mammalia; Diprotodontia; Phascolarctidae.
GUAAUAAAUAUUCUUAGCCCCACAGACCUAAUAAGGAAACACUCCCAUCCUCUUCUUGAUAGAGGGCUGGUGACUGCAGAGGCAAAACGGUAUAUAUUGGUUUUGUUUAAAUGUUUUUCUCUUGUUACAAGGAAGUGUUCAGAGGUGUUUGGGGGAGGUGGGGAGUGAGGAUGGGAGUGUUAAGGGAAAUCAGAGUACUCUAAAAACAAUUUUUUUUGUUUUAUUGUGUUUAGUUUUUAAAGCCAGAGUUCCCGAACUGUUCACACACACACACACACACACACACACACGCCAGUCUACUGUUCAAAUAUUAUGACCCUAUAUUCAAACUGUCAUUUCUUCCUCUUUUGAAUCUGAAUAAGGUUGAUCUCUUUUCUCCCCAGUUCCCCUCUCCUACUUCCCCAGCCUCAGAGGCAAGAGAUCAAAAAUAAGGCACAAAUAUUCCUGCACCAUAAUUGUGCCCAGGGAUUAUUAGCCGUGCAAGAGUUUUAAUUCACAACUGUUGUUUUAUUUUUUUUUCCAGUCAAGGUGGAGAGACCUCUUUCUUCUCGUUGGUUUGCCCUAGGAAUUUCUAGAGCAUUUUCUUCUCAGCCUGGUCAAAGAAUAAAUGCAAUUCAAGAGUACGAGGAUGCUUGGGACCAAACUGAUCACACAUUCCGCAAGUUACUGUUGUUGGUUUGUUACGCAUUCUUUAGGAAUAAAGAAUGGAGAUGGAAGGAGGGAAGAAGUGGAUGAGGCCUUAGACUUUCUGCUGACAGCCCAGAUUUGAGACUUUCAUAACUAAAAUGAUUAUACUCCCUCAAUUGCAUCCAUGCCUAUGCUUGUAGGAUGGAUAAAUGAACACAUUGAAAAUCUUGUCUUGCUGCUGUACUAUUUGCUCGGAUAGAAGAACACAACCCACAGGAACACCCAUAGCAGUUAGUUGAAGAUGUUGAUGUCCAUUCCUUGGUUAGUGAGUUUAAUCAGAGAAGUGCUAAUCAUCAUUCCCAGAGGAAAAAGAAAAAAGCACCAGAGUCAGUCAGCAAGCAUUUAUUAAGUGCCUAACUCUGGCCAGGCACUGUGCUACGCUCUGGGGAUACAAAGAAAGGCAAAAGCAUGGUCCUUGCCCUGAAGGAGCUCACAUUCUAAAGCGGGGGCUAUAAUAUGCAUAUAACCGUGUAUAUAUAAGAUAUGGCACAAAAGGAAAGUC